RNAcentral lists this ribosomal RNA (836 nucleotides) under Kitasatospora sp. IM-1725. Its description in RNAcentral is "bacterial SSU rRNA". It matches the Rfam family "Bacterial small subunit ribosomal RNA", at positions 38 to 889 of the family's 1533-position model. The record is from RNAcentral. Lineage: Bacteria; Bacillati; Actinomycetota; Actinomycetes; Kitasatosporales; Streptomycetaceae.
GGCGGCGUGCUUAACACAUGCAAGUCGAACGAUGAAGCUCUUCGGAGUGGAUUAGUGGCGAACGGGUGAGUAACACGUGGGGAAUCUGCCCUGAACUCUGGGACAAGCCUUGGAAACGAGGUCUAAUACCGGAUACGACCGUCUGCCGCAUGGGGGUCGGUGGAAAGCUCCGGCGGUUCAGGAUGAUCCCGCGGCCUAUCAGCUUGUUGGUGGGGUAACGGCCCACCAAGGCGACGACGGGUAGCCGGCCUGAGAGGGCGACCGGCCACACUGGGACUGAGACACGGCCCAGACUCCUACGGGAGGCAGCAGUGGGGAAUAUUGCACAAUGGGCGAAAGCCUGAUGCAGCGACGCCGCGUGAGGGAUGACGGCCUUCGGGUUGUAAACCUCUUUCAGCAGGGAAGAAGCGCAAGUGACGGUACCUGCAGAAGAAGCACCGGCUAACUACGUGCCAGCAGCCGCGGUAAUACGUAGGGUGCGAGCGUUGUCCGGAAUUAUUGGGCGUAAAGAGCUCGUAGGCGGCCUGUCGCGUCGGAUGUGAAAGCCCGGGGCUCAACCCCGGGUCUGCAUUCGAUACGGGCAGGCUGGAGUGUGGUAGGGGAGAUCGGAAUUCCUGGUGUAGCGGUGAAAUGCGCAGAUAUCAGGAGGAACACCGGUGGCGAAGGCGGAUCUCUGGGCCAUUACUGACGCUGAGGAGCGAAAGCGUGGGGAGCGAACAGGAUUAGAUACCCUGGUAGUCCACGCCGUAAACGUUGGGAACUAGGUGUUGGCGACAUUCCACGUCGUCGGUGCCGCAGCUAACGCAUUAAGUUCCCCGCCUGGGGAGUACGGCCGC